GUGCCAGCAGCCGCGGUAAUACGGAGGGUGCGAGCGUUAAUCGGAAUUACUGGGCGUAAAGACGCAUGCAGGUGGUUUGUUUAAGUCAGAUGUGAAAGACCCGGGGCGUCAACCUCGGAAUUGCAUUUGUAAACUAGGCAAACUAAGAGUACUGUAGAGGGGGGUAGGAAGUUUCAGGUGUAGCGGUGAAAUAGCGUAGAGAUCUGAAGGAAUACCGGUGGCGAAGGCGGCCCCCUCGGACAGAUACUGACACUCAGAUGCGAAAGCGUGGGGAGCAAACAGGAUUAGAUACCCCUGGUAG
RNAcentral lists this ribosomal RNA (301 nucleotides) under uncultured bacterium. Its description in RNAcentral is "bacterial SSU rRNA". It matches the Rfam family "Bacterial small subunit ribosomal RNA", at positions 505 to 793 of the family's 1533-position model. The record is from RNAcentral.